GUUGGGUAGGGGAGCGUUGUGUAAGCUGAAGAAGGUGGUUCGAGAGGGCUGCUGGAGGUAUCACAAGUGCGAAUGCUGACAUAAGUAACGAUAAAGCGGGUGAAAGGCCCGCUCGCCGGAAGACCAAGGUUUCCUGUCCAACGUUAAUCGGGGCAGGGUGAGUCGGCCCCUAAGGCGAGGCUGAGAAGCGUAGUCGAUGGGAAAUGGGUUAAUAUUCCCAUACUUGGAUAAACUGCGAUGUGGGGACGGAGCAGGUUAGGUUAGCGUACGGAUGGAAGAGUACGUUUAAGUUGGUAGGUGGGGUGUUUAGGCAAAUCCGGACACCUGAUAACACUGAGAGAUGAUGACGAGGCUCUACGGAGCUGAAGUAACUGAUACCCAACUUCCAGGAAAAGCCACUAAGCUUCAGGUUUAUCUAAACCGUACUGGAAACCGACACAGGUGGUCAGGUAGAGAAUACUAAGGCGCUUGAGAGAACUCGGGUGAAGGAACUAGGCAAAAUAGCACCGUAACUUCGGGAGAAGGUGCGCUGGCGUAGUGUGAAGUUCUUCGCGAAUGGAGCAUGAACCAGUCGAAGCGACGAGCUGGCUGCAACUGUUUAAUAAAAACACAGCACUCUGCAAACACGAAAGUGGACGUAUAGGGUGUGAUGCCUGCCCGGUGCUGGAAGGUUAAUUGAUGGUGUUAUCGAAAGAGAAGCACCUGAUCGAAGCCCCAGUAAACGGCGGCCGUAACUAUAACGGUCCUAAGGUAGCGAAAUUCCUUGUCGGGUAAGUUCCGACCUGCACGAAUGGCAUAAUGAUGGCCAGGCUGUCUCCACCCGAGACUCAGUGAAAUUGAAAUCGCCGUGAAGAUGCGGUGUACCCGCGGCUAGACGGAAAGACCCCGUGAACCUUUACUAUAGCUUGACACUGAACCUUGAAUUUUAAUGUGUAGGAUAGGUGGGAGACUAAGAAGCGGUAACGCCAGUUAUCGUGGAGUCGUUGUUGAAAUACCACCCUUUAACGUUUGAUGUUCUAACGAGGCGCCUGGGACAGGUGUUCGGACAGUGUCUGGUGGGUAGUUUGACUGGGGCGGUCUCCUCCCAAAGCGUAACGGAGGAGCACGAAGGUUGGCUAAUGACGGUCGGACAUCGUCAGGUUAGUGCAAUGGUAGAAGCCAGCUUAACUGCGAGACGGACAAGUCGAGCAGGUACGAAAGUAGGUCAUAGUGAUCCGGUGGUUCUGAAUGGAAGGGCCAUCGCUCAACGGAUAAAAGGUACUCCGGGGAUAACAGGCUGAUACCGCCCAAGAGUUCAUAUCGACGGCGGUGUUUGGCACCUCGAUGUCGGCUCAUCACAUCCUGGGGCUGAAGUAGGUCCCAAGGGUAUGGCUGUUCGCCAUUUAAAGUGGUACGCGAGCUGGGUUUAGAACGUCGUGAGACAGUUCGGUCCCUAUCUGCCGUGGGCGUUGGAGGAUUGAGGGGGGUUGCUCCUAGUACGAGAGGACCGGAGUGAACGCACCGCUGGUGUUCGGGUUGUCAUGCCAAUGGCAUUGCCCGGUAGCUAAGUGCGGAAGAGAUAAGUGCUGAAAGCAUCUAAGCACGAAACUUGCCCCGAGAUGAGUUCUCCCUGACAAAGAGUCAGUAAGGGUUGUUGAAGACGACGACGUAGAUAGGUGGGGUGUGUAAGCGGUGUGAGCCGUUGAGCUAACCCAUACUAAUUGCCCGAGAGGCUUAACUAUACAACGCUGAAGGGUUUU
RNAcentral lists this ribosomal RNA (1739 nucleotides) under Gallibacterium anatis. RNAcentral's name for it is "bacterial LSU rRNA". It matches the Rfam family "Bacterial large subunit ribosomal RNA", at positions 1223 to 2925 of the family's 2925-position model. Lineage: Bacteria; Pseudomonadati; Pseudomonadota; Gammaproteobacteria; Pasteurellales; Pasteurellaceae. The record is from RNAcentral.